RNAcentral lists this ribosomal RNA (269 nucleotides) under Bacteroides fragilis. RNAcentral describes it as "partial 23S ribosomal RNA". It matches the Rfam family "Bacterial large subunit ribosomal RNA", at positions 1 to 277 of the family's 2925-position model. The record is from RNAcentral. Lineage: Bacteria; Pseudomonadati; Bacteroidota; Bacteroidia; Bacteroidales; Bacteroidaceae.
AUAAAAGAAAGUAAAUAAGGGCGCAUGGCGGAUGCCUUGGCUCUCGGAGGCGAUGAAGGACGUGAUAAGCUGCGAUAAGCUUCGGGUAGGUGCAAAUGACCUUUGAUCCGAAGAUUUCCGAAUGGGACAACCCGGCAUUCUGAAGGAAUGUCAUCCAACUUGGUUGGAGGCUAACGCAGGGAACUGAAACAUCUUAGUACCUGCAGGAAAAGAAAAUAAAUAAUGAUUCCCCUAGUAGUGGCGAGCGAACGGGGAUUAGCCCAAACCAC